GACGAACGCUGGCGGCGUGCCUAAUACAUGCAAGUCGAGCGAAGAUUUUCUGGUGCUUGCACUAGAAAAACUUAGCGGCGAACGGGUGAGUAACACGUAAAGAACCUGCCUCAUAGACUGGGACAACUAUUGGAAACGAUAGCUAAUACCGGAUAACAGCAUUAACUGCAUGGUUGAUGUUUAAAAGUUGGUUUUGCUAACACUAUGAGAUGGCUUUGCGGUGCAUUAGCUAGUUGGUGGGGUAAAGGCCUACCAAGGCGACGAUGCAUAGCCGACCUGAGGGGGUGAUCGGCCACCCUGGGACUGAGACACGGCCCAGACUCCUACGGGAGGCAGCAGUAGGGAAUCUUCCGCAAUGGGCGAAAGCCUGACGGAGCAACGCCGCGUGAGUGAAGAAGGAUUUCGGUUCGUAAAGCUCUGUUGUUAGGGAAGAAUGAUUGUGUAGUAACUAUACACAGUAGAGACGGUACCUAACCAGAAAGCCACGGCUACCUACGU
Molecule: ribosomal RNA, 498 nt
Filed under: uncultured bacterium
Lineage: Bacteria
Description: partial 16S ribosomal RNA
Rfam family: Bacterial small subunit ribosomal RNA
Source: RNAcentral